AAUGAACGUUGGCGGCGUGGAUUAGGCAUGCAAGUCGUGCGAGAAGUCUUUUGCUUGCAUUAGACGGAAAGCGGCGAAAGGGAGAGUAACGCGUGGGUACCUACCUCUAGGUUCGGGAUAGCUGCGGGAAACUGUGGGUAAUACCGAAUAACAUCUCCGGAUCAAAGGUGUGAUUCCGCCUGGAGACGGGCCCGCGUGCUAUUAGCUUGUUGGGGGGGUAAUGGCUUACCAAGGCAAUGAUGGGCAUCGGGCGUGAGAGCGUGACCCGACUCACUGGGACUGAGACGCUGCCCAGACACCUACGGGUAGCUGCAGUCGAGAAUCUUCGGCAAUGGGCGCAAGCCUGACCGAGCGACGCCGCGUGCGGGAUGAAGGCCCUCGGGUUGUAAACCGCUAUCAGUUGGGAGGAAGUCACAUGGGGUUCUCUCCAUGUGUUGGCCUAUCUUCAGAGGAAGGACGGGCUAAGUUCGUGCCAGCCGCCGCCGUAA
Molecule: ribosomal RNA, 488 nt
Filed under: uncultured bacterium
Lineage: Bacteria
Description: partial 16S ribosomal RNA
Rfam family: Bacterial small subunit ribosomal RNA
Source: RNAcentral